AACGCGAAGAACCUUACCAAGAUUUGACAUGCAUGUAGUAGUGAACUGAAAGGGGAACGACCUGUUAAGUCAGGAACUUGCACAGGUGCUGCAUGGCUGUCGUCAGCUCGUGCCGUGAGGUGUUUGGUUAAGUCCUGCAACGAGCGCAACCCUUGUUGCUAGUUAAAUUUUCUAGCGAGACUGCCCCGCGAAACGGGGAGUAAGGUGGGGGUGACGUCAAGUCAGCAUGGNCUUUAUAUCUUGGGGUACACACACGCUACAAUGGACAGAACAAUAGGNUGCAACAGUGCGACGUGGAGCUAAUCCCCAAAGCUGUCCUCAGUUCGGAUUGCAGGCUGAAACCCGCCUGCAUGAAGUCGGAGUUGCUAGUAACCGCAUAUCAGCAUGGUGCGGUGAAUACGUUCCCGGGCCUUGUACACACCG
Molecule: ribosomal RNA, 423 nt
Filed under: uncultured bacterium SHE-138
Lineage: Bacteria
Description: bacterial SSU rRNA
Rfam family: Bacterial small subunit ribosomal RNA
Source: RNAcentral